Molecule: unclassified non-coding RNA, 298 nt
Filed under: uncultured Ascomycota
Lineage: Eukaryota; Fungi; Ascomycota
Description: sequence contains ITS1
Rfam family: 5.8S ribosomal RNA (bases 1-105)
Source: RNAcentral
GAAAUGCGAUAAGUAAUGUGAAUUGCAGAAUUCAGUGAAUCAUCGAAUCUUUGAACGCACAUUGCGCCCUCCGGUACUCCGGGGGGCAUACCUGUUCGAGCGCCGUUGUACUACUGAGGCUCAGCCUUGCGGUGGCCGAUGCUCUGACCCAGGGAUGGGGCGGAGGACGGCUCAAACGAAUGGGCGUUUCCUGAGGUCUGGCCAGCGUAGCAAGUCUAUUCGCUGAGGCAGAGGUUUGGGGAGCGCCAGUUUUACGACACUUGGCCUCGGAUCAGGUAGGGAUACCCGCUGAACUUAA